AAACUUUCAACAACGGAUCUCUUGGUUCUGGCAUCGAUGAAGAACGCAGCGAAAUGCGAUAAGUAGUGUGAAUUGCAGAAUUCAGUGAAUCAUCGAAUCUUUGAACGCACAUUGCGCC
RNAcentral lists this ribosomal RNA (118 nucleotides) under uncultured Cenococcum. RNAcentral's name for it is "partial 5.8S ribosomal RNA". It matches the Rfam family "5.8S ribosomal RNA", at positions 1 to 117 of the family's 154-position model. From Rfam's summary of the family: 5.8S ribosomal RNA (5.8S rRNA) is a component of the large subunit of the eukaryotic ribosome. It is transcribed by RNA polymerase I as part of the 45S precursor that also contains 18S and 28S rRNA. Functionally, it is thought that 5.8S rRNA may be involved in ribosome translocation. Lineage: Eukaryota; Fungi; Ascomycota; Dothideomycetes; Gloniales; Gloniaceae. The record is from RNAcentral.